GGUUACGCCCAGCGGAGUACCAUCUUCGUUAGGUUAUAUCCUUUGUGAGUAUAAUAUUUUUCUACCAAUAUAAUAAGUGAGUAAUUUUCACGCAAACAAUAAAGGCGAUUAAGCUAUUGAUAAGAUGUAAUACAAAAGUAUAAAGCGAAAUCGUUAGUGACAUAGAACAACGAGCGAGCGAGAUAAAACAGCAAGAAUUUUUCUAGUUAAUCUGACCUUAAGAUAUGACUUUAUGCAUAGUGGGAGUAGACCUGGCAUAACAACAGUGUUGUAAUGGAUGCCUUGUGGAAAACGGACGGGUCUCUUUUGUAAAAGAAUCCACUGUAAAAAAACCUACAAUACCCGGUGUUAGAAUCAGGAUAAAUAAAAGUUGUUUAAUUUUUAGAAUAAAGCAAAGUAAAUAAACGACAGACCAGCUCGUUGCAUUCAAUAUCUUCUAUUCUCGUACGGAGGUUGGAUUAUUUUUGUAAACGACUUUGACCAUGCCACGUUGGUGUUUGGGGCGAAAUAAUCCUGAUUGAAGAUAAAAAGAAAAUUUCACAGACUCGGUUUCACGUUUGUACGAAGGUGCCAUUGUUGUAGAAAACACGUUCGCGAAAGAAAGACACUUUGCGGGCAAAUUAGUAGUACGAAUGGAGACAAAGUUACGAUCGGGUUAAGGCGUUAAAUCAAAUCGCAGCCAAGAAGCAAAGAUCGAAAUGGCGCUAAUUUAUGGAAAAGGAAUUCCGGUUCUGUGUGUUCUGGUCUCUUCUAGACCACCAAGAGUUUUCCCAUCGAGAGACGAGAUCUACGAGGCAUCGUUUUCGAGAAGACGUCGGUGCCUUUUUCGGAAUUAACGAGCUUCGGCUGGAAAACUACCGUACGUGGUGUUACGCCCGUAAAAUGGCAUAGCUGUGCAUCAAACGCGCCGACCUGUGCGGUUAGAUAUCGGUCUUUGGACGUUAGAC
Molecule: long non-coding RNA, 947 nt
Organism: Bombus pyrosoma
Lineage: Eukaryota; Metazoa; Arthropoda; Insecta; Hymenoptera; Apidae
Exons: 3
Source: RefSeq, a predicted model, not a curated record